This 271-nucleotide ribosomal RNA is filed under the name uncultured microorganism. Its description in RNAcentral is "partial 16S ribosomal RNA". It matches the Rfam family "Bacterial small subunit ribosomal RNA", at positions 9 to 263 of the family's 1533-position model. The record is from RNAcentral.
GAGUUUGAUCCUGGCUCAGGAUGAACGCUGGCGGCGUGCUUAACACAUGCAAGUCGAGCGAAGCGUAUUUGCGGAAGUUUUCGGAUGGAAGCGGAUGCGACUUAGCGGCGGACGGGUGAGUAACGCGUGGGUAACCUGCCUCAUACAGGGGGAUAACAGUUAGAAAUGACUGCUAGUACCGCAUAAGCGCACAGGACCGCAUGGUCCGGUGUGAAAAACUCCGGUGGUAUGAGAUGGACCCGCGUCUGAUUAGCUGGUUGGCGGGUAACGG